RNAcentral lists this ribosomal RNA (257 nucleotides) under uncultured prokaryote. RNAcentral's name for it is "partial 16S ribosomal RNA". It matches the Rfam family "Bacterial small subunit ribosomal RNA", at positions 524 to 780 of the family's 1533-position model. The record is from RNAcentral.
UACGGAGGAUGCAAGCGUUAUCCGGAUUUAUUGGGUUUAAAGGGUGCGCAGGUGGUUUAAUAAGUCAGUGGUGAAAGUCUGCCGCUUAACGGUAGGAUUGCCAUUGAUACUGUUGGACUUGAAUAUGGAUGAGGUAGGCGGAAUGUGUAGUGUAGCGGUGAAAUGCAUAGAUAUUACACAGAACACCGAUUGCGAAGGCAACUUACUAAUCCAUCAUUGACGCUGAGGCACGAAAGCGUGGGGAUCAAACAGGAUUA